CGUGAGAUGUUGGGUUAAGUCCCGCAACGAGCGCAACCCUUGCCCUUUGUUGCCAGCGGGUAAAGCCGGGAACUCAAAGGAGACUGCCAGUGACAAACUGGAGGAAGGCAGGGAUGACGUCAAGUCAUCAUGGCCCUUACGGUCAGGGCUACACACGUGCUACAAUGGGGCGUACAGAGGGAAACGAUACCGCGAGGUGGAGUGGAACCCAAAAAGCGUCCCUAAGUUCGGAUUGGAGUCUGCAACUCGACUCCA
This 255-nucleotide ribosomal RNA is filed under the name uncultured bacterium. RNAcentral describes it as "partial 16S ribosomal RNA". It matches the Rfam family "Bacterial small subunit ribosomal RNA", at positions 1066 to 1320 of the family's 1533-position model. The record is from RNAcentral.